RNAcentral lists this ribosomal RNA (206 nucleotides) under uncultured bacterium. RNAcentral describes it as "partial 16S ribosomal RNA". It matches the Rfam family "Bacterial small subunit ribosomal RNA", at positions 568 to 774 of the family's 1533-position model. The record is from RNAcentral.
AGCGUAGACGGCACGGCAAGCCAGAUGUGAAAGCCCGGGGCUCAACCCCGGGACUGCAUUUGGAACUGCUGAGCUAGAGUGUCGGAGAGGCAAGUGGAAUUCCUAGUGUAGCGGUGAAAUGCGUAGAUAUUAGGAGGAACACCAGUGGCGAAGGCGGCUUGCUGGACGAUGACUGACGUUGAGGCUCGAAAGGCUGGGAGCAAACA